Molecule: microRNA precursor, 144 nt
Filed under: Morus notabilis
Lineage: Eukaryota; Viridiplantae; Streptophyta; Magnoliopsida; Rosales; Moraceae
Source: RNAcentral
AGAGUGGGAAUGCAGCCAAGGAUGACUUGCCGGCAUUUGCGUAGUAUCAAAUGCGCUAUAUAUACAAUCAAUAUAUAUAUAUAUAUAUAAAGUGUUCUGGCUAGGUCUUGUUGGCGGGUUGUCCUUGGCUACAUUUGGCUCUUC